Molecule: long non-coding RNA, 3635 nt
Filed under: Nicotiana tabacum (common tobacco)
Lineage: Eukaryota; Viridiplantae; Streptophyta; Magnoliopsida; Solanales; Solanaceae
Description: long non-coding RNA (NTAB_LNC013454)
Source: RNAcentral
AACUACGUCGUGUUUCGUUCUCCAUUUCGCUUAAAUGCCCUAAUCCCCUUAAAUCAAGAGAAUAGACCCCUCCCUUUAGAAAAACCCUAGCAGUCGCCCCUGCUCUCACCUCAAUCUCGGAGAAAGCACACGAAAAUUCUCGCACACUUACUCUCUCAUCUAAAUUCUUCAUAUCUGCACUAACCCAUCUUCACACACGCAUGGAAGGUAAUCAAUAACUAGGUGGAGAACUUUCAGAAAAUUCAAAAAAAAAAAAGGAAACUCCAAAACUGGAUUCGAAAAGCUAAAAAUAGAGGAGCUUCUAAAACUUUGGGUUUUUAAGGGUUUGUCAGGGUCAAAAUCACUGCUGCUUAAUGUUGAAACUAUUGUAUCUGCGUAGCUGAAUUCUCUCUGUUUUCCUUACCUUUGUUCGGGUUCAUUUCCUUCUCCUUGUUCGAAGUUCAAGAUAAAAGUUCUUAUAGAUUUCUAAAUGUACUGAGUUGUAUGAUUAUAUAGUUUUUUGUGCUACAAAUUGAGUGGAAUUCUUGGAAUCAUGUUUUUGACUUCAGAUCUAUUUGUUGGUGUUUAUCUGUUAACGACUGAACGAGGCUAGUGACUUAGGUUUGAGUUUUAUUUUAAUUGGAAUUAGUUGUUAAUCAGUUUGACUUUUGCUCCUAUUGCUUUUUCCACGGUAGUUCAUCACGUUAAUGAACACUUAAUAUCAUGUUCGGUAUCUGUAUCUUCACUUGUAAGACCACUGAUUUGCACUCAAGUGUGUUGAAAUACAAAUAUUUUUGUUCAUUUAAAAUAGGAUCUGAAACUAAAAUUCUCAGGUUAAAUUAAGAUUAGAAAGAGGCUUCAACAUCAGGCCAUGAAUCCAAUUUGUAUUAACUAACGAGAAGGUAACCAUUUAUGCAAUAGUUUAGUUCAGUUGAGUAAUGUUCUGGCUUAGAAUUUGAGCAUCUUCGAAUAGCUCUCAGUAUAGUUUGUCUCUUUCAUGUUUAUAUGGUCAUAUUUUAAGAUUCUUUAUCUUGUUAUAAGAUUUUAUUAGCUUCAUUCUUAAAUUUGAAAACAAAGCUGGUUAAGAGUUUCCAUGAAUUUGAUUAAGUUGAUUUGAGUUGCUUUAUUAACUAAUAUGUUGUUUUGUUUACUUUGUUGAUAUGGAAUUCAUAUUGCGAUUCCGAGAGUUAGAUUAGCUCUGUUAUGUCAUUUGAGACUUGCAUGCAAAAUUGGACGUCAUUCCGAGUAGAUUUGAUAUGUUUCGGCGUGAGUUGUAGAAGUUGAAAGUCCAUAAGUUCAUUAAGUUUGAUUUGAGGUGUGUUUUAUAGUUUUGAUAUUUUUUAUGUGAUUUGAGACCUCGAGCAGGUCCGUGUUAUUUGUUGGGACUUAUGGGUAUGUUCGGAUGUGGUCCCGAGGGGCUCAGGUGAGAUUUUGAAUAGGUUUGGGUUGUGUUGCGCUCGUUUUUAUGUUUUGACUUUAUUUUUUCAAGCAUAAAUUAUACCACAUUAAGAAAAUUAGAUCCAAUUUCUAUUUCAAUUGUAUAAAUACAUCCCUAUUGUAAUUACGAAGCCAUAGCAAAAAGAAACGUCAAAUUUGGGUUGUGUUAUGCUCAUUUUAGUGUCGGAGAAGAGAGCUGGUGCUAGCGCUUCGCAGAUGCGAAGGUGGGUCCGCAUUUGCGACCCUGCAGGUGCGACAAUGGUCCCCAAAGGCGGAAAUUGCAGCUGAAAAUGUUUAGGUGCGGAUGUUUUGUCGCAAAAUCGAAAAUCCCUGAGUAUAAAAAACCAGACCGCGUUAUUUUGGUAUUUUGAGUAUAUCUUGAGUUCUAGAGCUCCAAUUGAGGUGAUGUUUGCGGCGUUCUUCUCAUAUUUUCAUGGGGUCAGUAUCUAACUAUAAUUAUUUUAUUUUAAUAUGAUUAUAGAAGUUCAUUUUUGAAUUAAUCCAUAUUUUGAUAGGAAAAUUGGGAGCUUUUAUCAAAAACUUUUCUAAAGAAAAUAAUUGGAUUUUUAACAUCGACUCGGAGUCAAAAUUUACAUGAAAUUUGUAUGGUUAGACUCAUAAUUAAAUUGAUAUUCCAAUUUUGUAAAUUUUAUCGGUCUGAGGUCCGGGCCCGGGGGUCGACUUUUGGGUUGAUUUUUAGUUUUUGACAAAGAUUGAAGCUUUAUUAUUCAGAAUAGUUUNNNNNNNNNNNNNNNNNNNNNNNUUUCACUCGAGAAGUUCAUUUUAGAAUAGCGGUCUAGCUUCUUUGAGGUAAUUAUCUUACCUAACUUUGUGUGGGAAACAACCUUAGGAUUUGAGUCUUUGGUGCUAAUGGUGUCAUGUGAAGCCGUGUACGCGAGGUGAAGAGUACGUGCUCGGGCUUAUUUGUGGAAAUUUGACUGUUUAGGGCUCUUAGGUUCUUAUGUUCAUUAGAUAUGAAAUUGUUUUGUUAUGUUAAAUUCUCCAUUCACUAAAUUCACCUUAUGUGUCUUAAUUGGAAUUAAUUGUUCCAUGUUUUACUCUUAUUACCGAUUAAACUUUUAUGUGCCUUAACUGAAGUUGUUACUUCUUUUAUUACUAUAUUAUCCUUUCCAUAAUUACUUAUCCUUAAUUGAGUUUGUUAAUUCUCUUUCGUAAUUGCUCGACCCUAAUUGAAGAUUUGUGAUCCCUUAUCAUUGUUGACUUACCCUUAAUUGGAGUCAUUGAUUCACGUUAUCCCUCCUAUCAUUGAAUUUGUACUUAUGUGGUAUCUUUUCUACACAGUAUCUCUUCCUUGCUGAGUUAUUGCUAUGUUGUACCUUUCCUUGUGAGUGAGUUCUUCCGUCUCUCUAUGUCUGGAGUUCCCGAGUUGAUUUACUUGUCGUAUUCUUGUAUUUUUGUCACUGUUACAUAUCUACUUUUGGGACUACGAGACGGUAUUGUAUUGGAAAAAAAUUGAGUUUACAUAUUUAAGUGAUUGCAAGAUGACGUGCCAUGACACAUAGACUGGUCAAAAAGUUAUGAUUGGCAAAGAGGCACGAGUUGCAACAGAUACGAGCAGAGGCAUAAGAGGAAGCACGAGCAGAUACUCAAGAGAUUCAACGCUCGUACCUAUUUAAGUCCAAGGGAAUGAAUCUGACAGUUCACGAGAGUACAGACAAUAUUUAAUGAGCCUUAAAUACUAAAAAUGUUAGAGAAUUUGUAUAAAUACAAUGAUUAUAUAACGUAGCAUUAAUGUCUUUAAUUGCCUAUAAUGACCUUAUUAUGAUAAAUGCAAAACGCAUAUCUCCAAAGUAGCUAUUUUUUAAAAUAUCAUGUACAUAUUAUGGCAUUAUGACGUGGAUUAUGUGUUUUGUUACUGUUCAGUCUUUAUUUACUCUUAUUAUUUACUGAGUUGGCGUACUCACAUUACUCCUUGCACCUUGUGUGCAGAUCCAGGUAUUUCUGAACCCGGUAGCGAGUGUUAAUUACUCAGUGGCAGGUUCAUCGGAGUUAGCAAGGUAGUUGCCCGACGUUCGCAGCCCUGCUCUUCUCCCUCUUAUCUUCCUAAGACUGUUUUUAGUAUAUAUUUUAAGAAUCUUUGUUGUAUUCAGACCUUAGUAGAUGCUCGUGACUUGUGACACUCCGAUGUCGGGCUUGUGUAUUUAUUCUGCACUGGUUACUUAGACAUAUAUUAUGAGAUUUCUUGCUAAUUAAUGGCU